GGGGAAUAUUGCGCAAUGGGGGGAACCCUGACGCAGCCAUGCCGCGUGAAUGAAGAAGGCCUUAGGGUUGUAAAGUUCUUUCGGUAUUGAGGAAGGUUGAUGUGUUAAUAGCACAUCAAAUUGACGUUAAAUACAGAAGAAGCACCGGCUAACUCCGUGCCAGCAGCCGCGGUAAUACGGAGGGUGCGAGCGUUAAUCGGAAUAACUGGGCGUAAAGGGCACGCAGGCGGUUAUUUAAGUGAGGUGUGAAAGCCCCGGGCUUAACCUGGGAAUUGCAUUUCAGACUGGGUAACUAGAGUACUUUAGGGAGGGGUAGAAUUCCACGUGUAGCGGUGAAAUGCGUAGAGAUGUGGAGGAAUACCGAAGGCGAAGGCAGCCCCUUGGGAAUGUACUGACGCUCAUGUGCGAAAGCGUGGGGAGCAAACAGGAUUAGAUACCCUGGUAGUCCACGCUGUAAACGCUGUCGAUUUGGGGGUUGGGGUUUAACUCUGACGCCCGUAGCUAACGUGAUAAAUCGACCGCCUGGGGAGUACGGCCGCAAGGUUA
Molecule: ribosomal RNA, 546 nt
Filed under: uncultured bacterium
Lineage: Bacteria
Description: bacterial SSU rRNA
Rfam family: Bacterial small subunit ribosomal RNA
Source: RNAcentral